RNAcentral lists this ribosomal RNA (166 nucleotides) under uncultured bacterium. Its description in RNAcentral is "partial 16S ribosomal RNA". It matches the Rfam family "Bacterial small subunit ribosomal RNA", at positions 340 to 523 of the family's 1533-position model. The record is from RNAcentral.
UACGGGAGGCAGCAGUGGGGAAUAUUGGACAAUGGGCGCAAGCCUGAUCCAGCCAUGCCGCGUGAGUGAUGAAGGCCCUAGGGUUGUAAAGCUCUUUCACCGGUGAAGAUAAUGACGGUAACCGGAGAAGAAGCCCCGGCUAACUUCGUGCCAGCAGCCGCGGUAA